GACGAACGCUGGCGGCGUGCUUAACACAUGCAAGUCGAGCGGUAAGGCCCUUUCGGGGGUACACGAGCGGCGAACGGGUGAGUAACACGUGGGUGACCUGUCCUCAGCUCUGGGAUAAGCCUGGGAAACCGGGUCUAAUACUGGAUAUGACUCCAUGACGCAUGUUGUGGGGUGGAAAGCCUUGUGCGGCUGAGGAUGGGCCCGCGGCCUAUCAGCUUGUUGGUGGGGUGANGGCCUACCAAGGCGACGACGGGUAGCCGGCCUGAGAGGGCGACCGGCCACACUGGGACUGAGACACGGCCCAGACUCCUACGGGAGGCAGCAGUGGGGAAUCUUGCGCAAUGGGCGAAAGCCUGACGCAGCGACGCCGCGUGAGGGAUGACGGCCU
RNAcentral lists this ribosomal RNA (388 nucleotides) under uncultured bacterium. RNAcentral's name for it is "bacterial SSU rRNA". It matches the Rfam family "Bacterial small subunit ribosomal RNA", at positions 28 to 417 of the family's 1533-position model. The record is from RNAcentral.